AAGUCACGUCCGUCAACCGCCCAGCUAGUCACCGAUAAGCGGCUAACAACGGAUGAUCUGUCGCCGGGCGCGUGCUUAUAGUUGGACCCAGAACUUGAAUUUGUUUUGUGCAUGCAGUUAUGUAGACUCUUCCUGAUUGAGUUACAGUAAUUGGAUUCGAGAUAAGAUCAGGCGUUUACAGCAAAGUCUCACUCUGACAAUUAGGAAGUCUCCACUCAGCAGAACAGAUUGACUGAAAGCAGCGAGAUUGUAAAAGUCUUUGAGUUAAAAACCGCCUCUUGUUACGAUGCUAAAUGGGGGGCCUUUUCCUCCUACAGGCCCCCGGCCGUCCCAAUCGACCUUUCCAAGGUCCAAAUCUGCUCACGUAAUCCAACAACUGCCUUCUGCGGAGCCUCACAGCAGUCCAUCGCAUUUCUGCUGCUCUUUACGUCGAACUGCUCUGCAUUCAUAUGAGCUUGUUUCACGCCGGGAGGGAAGCACUCUUUUUUUUUUUUUUUGCUACUUUAAAGCUGCUUGCUGUUUACAGAUUACCCUGAAUCUCAGACUGGAUGCAACAGAUGCGUGUCGGCAGCAUGUGCUUCUUGGAAAUGCAGAGUAGAAACACCGACACCCGGUCGGAUUCCGCUCCGUGGGUUUCAGGAUCGUGUUAUUCAAAGGUGCCAAAGAAAUACCCGAGAAAGUGUAGAGAACUGCUAAAGUACGGGGAGCUACUGUUAAACAACGUUCCCUGACACGUGUUUUGUUUGGCCACGCGGCCCAACGACACAUCACUAUUUUUCUUGUUAACAUAAUCUCCCUCCUUUUCUCCCCACCUCCUUCAAUUUUUCCACAAAGUUAUCACCACACGCUCCGGGCCGGCAGAGUUUCUGAUUAAGGAAACUGAAUCAACCUGAAAACCUCCAGGCGUACAAUAGGGAUGGGACGAUAACGCAGGGCCAGCAGAGCACACCCUUUCCCACUUCCUACCCUCUCCGAAAGAAAUUAGACCCGCGUGAGCAUCCGGCCGUCUGCAGAUGGCCCGUCGUCCCACAGCCAUCAAGAGUGUUUUAUUCAGCUGUUUGUCACACUGUGAGAAAUGUGAGACCUCAAUCUCUUCCUGCUACAUCUACCGUGACCCGCCAGCGCUCCAGCCCAAGGAGAUCUAAUGGAAACUUUCCCCGUUCGUGCCGCAGGAUGGGGGGUGUAGGGGGGGAGGGCGGGGAGGCAGGCGGGUACGGGGUUUGCCUGACUGUCAUCCACGCUGCAUAUUGGAUAAACAGGGGGUGAAAGGUCAUGUUUGCACAGCAUAUCCUCCAUUUCCUUCACGUCAAACAGGAUGUCUUUGGCAUCUUUGACGCUGCAUCAACAUUUCUUUUUACCCCCCCCACCCCCACCUUGUCUGUCUGCGUCUAACAUACAUUUCACACAGAUGCAGGGGGACGGGUGGAGCUCGCAGUGGGACAUUUCCUCGGGUUGUCACCUGCUAACUGCUCAGUCUGUCAGUCAGUACACUUUGCAUGCGCCCAAGCUAACCUUAGUAUUAGCAUUUAAAUUGAGUAGCCAACGAAAUGGGGCGGGGGGGGCUCCUUCCGUUUUCCGUCUUCUCUUUCGCUGCUUUGGCUCCGCAACGCUCCCAAAGCUCAUUGCAAAUACCUCCAUGCUGUUGGCCGCUGGCCGUGGCCUGCUGGUGGCGUCUUGGCAUGAGCAGAUGUUUGGAUUUGGACUCCCUCUGAGAAGAAUGCGAGAAUAUGAGCGAGCGGUUUCAGGCGGACGCUCGCAGCGGCGGUUUUGAGGAGUCAAACCGAGGGGAACUUUUUUUUUUUCUCUCAGAGAAGUUCGAGCAAAGUACCCCUUUUGAUGGCGAAAAUCCUCAACUUGACUGAGCUCAGCACGGGAGAUUAUGGAGAAGAUUUUUCUUUUCUUUUUUUUUUUUUUUACUCCUUUAAUCCCUCUUUCGGGUUAAGAAGCGGAAGCGUUAUCUUUGGCGUGUGCACGUGUGAGUAAAAGCGAGAGAAGGAGAACAAAGGGAGUAAAGCAGCGGAGGCGAUUUGGCCGGAGUGCGUCGUGCAGAUCGAGGUCACGUCGCUGAUCCCUCCCCCCACCCUCCCCCGCUGCUCGGGUGAGAGCGGGUGACCUCUGCUUCAUUAACUCCGUAAUUCCCUUUUCGCCCUCCGAUCUAUUUGUGUGUGUGUGUGUGUGUUUGUUUAUCCGUGUGUGUCUAGAAGCCGAUAGAAGUUUGUGUUAAUGAGGGAGGCGGCAUCGGGACGAGACGAGUGAGAAAAAAGUUCCUCCAGUCAGCCUUUUGAUGCAGGAGCCCCUCCUCCCCCCCCACCGCCGUUUCUCCUUCUUCCCGACCCAACAGAAGAGCUGCAGGCGGAACAAGCAGACAGGCCUUUGAUGCCCGAGUUGAUGGUUACCAAGCGCUCCCUACCUCCACCUCUCCCCCCCCCCCGUAUGCCUCGCUCGCUUUCCGUCCUUGACAACCGCGUCGUCAAGCAGAAAUGCGCCCAAUGGCGGCCCAGGGCCGAGGGGCGUCGACAACCCCGGCACCUGUCUUCUCCUUCCUGUCCCCGUUUACGCCGCUCCGCUCCGUCUCCUCGCGUCACCUCCUCCCCUUCCGUCCCCCGUCCCUCUCGGCGAUGCCGUCACGCGCUUCAUCCCCCGACUCGUCUCGGUGCAGCCGGAGGAACGAGGGGUCCCGUCGACCACGCGCCCCCGGAAGGCACGGCGUCGAGCGCGAGGGCCGUGGGAGGCUGGCAUGCGGGUGGAAUCUUGGGUAAAAAAAACAAAAAACAAAGAGGAGGAUUUGGUGCGCAGUGCAACAUCCUUUUUAUUUGUUCCGCCGCUCUGCCUGUUGGGAAGAGUUUGAAAAAGUUUUGUCUCUUAAUCCGUACAAAUCAACCUGGACUCAUCAGUGCAACUGCACAUUUUCUUGGACGGAAUUUGUUUCUGGAUUUGAGCCGGAUAAUCACAUUAAAGAGUCACGCGCUUUAAUCACAAUUCCUUCUGCAAUUUAAAAGGCAGCAUUAUUUAUAUAUAUAUAUAGAAAUUGAUUCACCCCUCCCCAAAUUCAGCCCCAGGAGGCCUCUGACUAGAUAAUAUGUUUACUGUAGCGAUCAGCUACAGUUGGAAAGCGCUUGGAUGAGCUCCACUCCACGUGUGUGUGUGUGUGUGUGUGUGUGUGUGUGUGUGUGUGUGUGUGUGUGUGUGUGUGUGUGUGUGUUUGACUGAGAGGAAGGCCUCAAAGAACUGAACACAAAAUGUCACAUGUCACGAUUACAGAGGCCCGGAGGCUAUUCUGAGACUAAUGACUGCAUAAUGGUAACGGGUCGCACAAUGACAAACUCCAUUACGAAGAUUAUUCCUCUGAAGGAGAUGAAGACGCCUCACACCACCCACGACGGACACAAACUGACUUAAAUAUGACCAGACCAGAGCAAACUGCUGAUGUUCUCCCACGUGCCUUUAUUACACAAAGCCUUCUUUUCGUCCUUACGGUCCAGUUGUUGCUGUUGUGCGCAGACCCCCACAAAACGGUUAUGCAAGAGAACUAAAUGAUAAGCACCUGGUAAUCUGACGAAUGGAUUAUUCUGAAAAAUGUAUUAAUCGAGUCGUUUCCCGGGAGGAGUCGUUUCACGAUAUUAGUGAAAUCAAAUGAGACUACGGGCAACCACGGCCUCUCGGCAGUGCAGCUGAGGGCCCAGAACACAGAGGUGGGUGUUCAUUGCUAUUCCUGCACUGCGGUGAAACAGGUUAGUGCUGUCAGGAUUGAAGUGGGCUAGCAGGGGAUUAUGUGGUAGGAGGGUGUCUUUUCUUUUUCUCCUACGGCGCGUACCUCCCUCCAGCCCCGACGCCCCUCCGCCUCCUCUUCCCUCGGCUCCUCUGUAUAAUGUGGGAGUGUUGUUUAGACCUUGCAAACCACCCCCCCCCCCUCCCCUCCCCUCCGGGUCGGUGAAGACGGUCUGAAAAGAAAAAAGUAUCGGUGACGACGACAAGGAAGCGUGACCUGAUGAGCUGUGCAAGAGGACUCGUCAUGAUCUUAAUAUCAGGAAAAAUAUGGGACCUCCAAAACCCUGAGGCUUCACUUCAAACAGGCGACCGAGCGUGUAAUUCCUAAUGAAAAUCACAAGAGCAUCUCAACGCCCACACAAACACCCAAACCCCGUCAACACGUUUUUUUUUAUUUUAACACAAAUUCCCAGCCGGACCGGGAAUCGAAGAGAUAAGAGGCAUUUAAGGGUGUUUGAUUAAAAUAAAAUAAGAAACGAUCAAUUACUUUUUUUUUACCUCGGGGGGGAAAGUGAAGCGAGACGAGGAAACGUUCACUGACGUUCACGCUGCCUCUUUAAUACCGAGCCAUCGAUUCGCGCGCAAUUUCAUUUGCUCGCAAUCAAUAGGGAGUGCACAGCGGUCAGCCUGGAUAAAGUGUGACAAACGGGCAAAGACCAGCAUAUUCAAAUGUCAUUGUCUAGAUUAGCCCUCAUUGAUCGGCUGCAUCCACUUAAGAGGAAGUUACGCUUUGACACUUCCUCACAGCGGCCCCGCCGCCCGCUGACAUGGACAUCAACACUACCUUUCUCUAAGUGCACAUGGGUGCCCGGAGAGACGCAUGAAUGGUACAAGUAGUGUGAGAAAGCCACCUGGUUCGGGGCUUUGAGAGACAGCAGGUGAAGUGCGGUGAGAGGUGAGGCCGCCGUGAGCAGAGGGGUCGAGGGAGAGAAGAGGAGGUUACGCGCAGCAGACGAGAUACGCGGACAAAGCGGCAUGUGGAGCGGGAGCUGGGAAAUGGAUCGGUGUUCGUUAGCGAGAGUCUCUCGCCCUGCACACACACACACACACACACACACGCACAAGUCUCUUCAAUUUCUGUUCCUUCGUCUCUCCCCUUACGCAAGCUUUCCACAUCUUCUCUCUCGUUCGUUCAAAUCAUUUCUAGUGUUUUUUCUUUCUCUGAAAUUUCCCAGCUCAGUAAAACGUUGGCGGAGUGCUUUUCCAUUCUCUCUCACAAACAGUGUUUGCCGUCCAGUCAACUGGCAGCACAUGAACAAAGCAUUGUGACUGCGAGCGGCGUCUGCUUAUGGAACACUUUUCCUGACUGUGCUGCAGCUGUGUUCCUUUUCUUCGAAUCUGUUGGGAUUGCUGAUAAAAGACAGUCAAAAUAUACGAUUACUCUGGGAAAUAGUUGAACCCACUGUGAGCAAGUUCGACCUGUUGAGCGGAUUCUUUAUAUGUUCCACUGCUGUGCAGUUUUGCAGAUGGCCGCAAGUUUCAAACGCUUUGACUAGCUUCUCUCUCGGUGGCCAAGUGGUCACAACAACGAAUAUUUCUUACCAUGCGUGCACUGUUGUCCCCCAUCACCGUCUGGUUUCUUAUCAUUUCUUAUCGUUUUGAUUAGUGAAGUAAAAAUGGAGCCACAUUAAUACUUUAUACAUUACGUGCUGUUUGUUUAAGUCAUUGAUGAAGUUUAAGAUUUUUUUGGCCAAUGUCCAAUGCUGAGGUAUCAGUAGCAGGACUGAAAAGGUCAAAUCAAAUCAAUCAGACCUGGAAGAGUAACAAAAACUGAGAUAGCAGCAUUUCAAUAACACAUCCCAAUCAUUUCUUCUGCUACCUGACCCGCGCUGUUUGUGAUCUGGCCGGACAAAAGAAAACCAAGUCAAAUGUCCAUAAAAAAAGACAUUUAACGAAGAACGUUCCAACGCAGGUUUUUAUGUUCCAGACAGGUGGGUGUGUUUAAAGCCUCUGGGCCUCCCUCUCAUGUAUUUCCAUUGUGCAACUUACAGUUGAUCACACAAAAGCACUGAGAUGGAUUUGGAGGAGUAAUUUGACCCCCGUCAGGUGGUGUAGCCCCGGGCCGCGAUGCUCUACCAGCCAGCCCGGUUCACCUAAGAACAAAGUAAGCCGGGCUUUAGCCGGCCGGCAACAUGAUCCGCCCUGCAAUGAUUCCCAGGCAUCCGGGGGUCACGCACAGGGACGGGUCUCUCAAAGGCGGUGUCACGUCGGAGAGAGGACCAUACCCUCGGCUAAAGAAGGGAAACCCGAUACGUGCACGCACACGCACACGCGCACACGCACACUCGCAACCCCCCUUUAAUGGCCACGAGAGUGUGAAAGGGACAGGACUGAGUUAAGUGUAAAGCCCCAGCGAGCGAGAGAGAGAGAGAGAGCGCGUGUGUUCAGUAUCGAUUCGUAUUUGAUCCCUGCCAGUCGCUCCUCUCCUGUGUCUCCCCGCAGGCUCCACGCUGACCUUCUCUGACUGUCUGUCACACACACACACACAGGCUCACAUGCAGCCAGCACCGGCAUUGUCGCUUGCCACGAGCGUGAUAGCUCACCCUUAAUGGAGGUGGUGUGAGAGGCGUUAGGGGCCCAAGACAAAAAGAAGAAGGAAGGAAUGAAAAAAGAAAGGAUAAAGGCAUGGGAUGGCUUUGGGCAUGUGAUGGGAGACAAAUGGAGUGACUCAAUAGGUCCAUUAUGAGUCUUGGAGAGGAGGUGGAGAGGGAGGGGGGUGGGGGGGUGGAGGGGAGGUGUUGAGAGAUGGAUGGCAAAGACGAGGCUUUGAGGGGAUGUGAAUAGAUGUAGGGAAGCGUGGUUAGAUUAGUUAGAUCAGGCAAACUGCUUAACCAGCUUAGGGUUCCUGGCCCCGGUUCCUGCUCUCCAUCCCCUCGCGCUUCUUGAGUGCACUCGGACGUUCUUGGAUGGCAGUUAUCAUCACACUGUGCUUUAGCGGUCUCCUCUGAUAUUUGUAUUAAGCAAAUUCUUCAGUCGUCUUAUAUUUCUAUGCGCCUCUAUCUUUGACUCGGGAGGUCAGAGGAUUGGAAAUAAUCUUUAAUAUGUUCGGCUGGUCUCCGUAUUUCUGCACGUUCCCUCCCUCCCUCCUUUAAUCUUGGUUCAUCCCUUGCUCUUGUUGGCCCCCCCCGUGUCCCCUUCUCCCCCUCUCCAUUUCCUCAGCCCUCUUCAUCUUCGCUUCCUCUCGGCCUCUAUAACUGUUAAGUCAUGUUUUAUGGUUCUGUUUGCCGGCUUGGCCCUGCUGCUGUAAUAGAAUCGCUCCUUACAUAGACAACAGUUUCCAGGGUAACGCUGACGGAGGGAGGGUGGGGUGAGGGGGGGUUGGGGGGUGGGAGAAGGCCACGCAGUGCACUGUGCUGUAGUCAAUUUUAUUUUCCUUCACAAUAUUUUUGGCAGAUUUCUGAUACACUCCGCCGGCGACCUGAGGUGUGCAGAAGAAGACGCACGGCAACGCUUUUUUUUUAUCGGCGCCGAAAAGCAUUACCGCCGCUUUCGAUUUGAGCGAUUGCGUUCACUUUUUCAGAACGGGGCCGCUGUGGCUUGUUGUGGAGGUCGAGCAGGUUGAUGCAUUGCCCUUUGUGUGUAGUAACCCUGACUGGCAUUUGUAAGGAGGAAGAGGAGGAGGAGGAGGAGGAGUGAGCUGCAAUGCCUCGCAGACACUCACUGGCAUUUCCCUAAUCACUCCGACUCAUCUUUUAUUACCUCGGAAAGUCAUUCCCCUCCUGGGUGCUGCCACUGCAGAUGUUUCUACCGCCCGCAGUAUUGGACAUUUUCUCACUGGCGAGAAUAGAGUAGAAGAGACAGACCGUAAUAUGACUGUCGGUAAUAUCGCCACUUUGCUCCGGGGGGAAUGUAUAUUUGCGCGCAGAAUUGGAACAAACUCUCACACGUCUGCAAAAUCACAUUAAGAAAAUAUUCCUUCGUCAAAGCUUUAUGUGGCCUCGGGGAUCGGAAAUAGCUGGUGUCCUGUAAUCGACAUUGUUAGCGUUCUGCGAACAACCUCUCCGAUAUUAGGAAAACAAACAUCAAUCAAAGCAAUGCCUCGCACUGACUCAAAUAACAGUAAAAGUGUAGCCGUUAUAAUAUUUUGGGGUAGCGUCAUAGCUGUGUGCUUAUUGGUCUACAUGUUGCUUAAUUUCAAUGAUUUGAAGAUUCAAUAUAUUUAUGGAGCAUAUUCGCCGUUUCCAGCAAUCAAGGUCUCCUUGAGCUGUGCAAUUAAUGAAACGCACUUUGUGUAAUAGACACGGCAAGGUGACAACCCACAGCAGGUGGGUGAUUGUGACAGAAUGAAAAGAAAUCUUCAGAUUGAAUGAGUUUGUAAUUAUCUUUUUUUCUCAAGUAACCAGAUUACGAAAAAUAAACAGCCAUAAAUAAUAAGCCCAUGUUUAAUUUGAAAAAAAUAAAUGCCCAGCUUUACAAUAACCCUUCACUCUUGGAUGACAGCAGUCCAAAGAUAGACAUACACACGUCGCCGCUGUGAUACAGUCUAAUGGCCACUUCUCUGGUGCCAGCGGAUCCCCGUUUGCUGUAAUGUCAUCAUGUUUCUAUAAAAGGGGAUGAGAUGAGAGAGGGACAGUAUAACCCUUCGGGCCCCCGCCCGGCCCCGCUGAGACCAGUUUGGUUGAAAAGAGGGGUGUGUUGGACCGGGGUUUGGGGGUGGAUUUGGGGGGGCAGCGUUCGGGGUAUUUCUGCAUUAGAAGUGCUGCAGCGUGAGGCAACAGAGAGACAAAGAGGGACCACCGCCUAUAUUUAGUCUGACCUGAGUGCCGGCGUGUGGCCCGGAGAGAGGCAGAGAGACAGGUGCGGCGGCCGGUCAUUACGGGAGAACACAAGAGGCCGAUAGCGGGGGGGGGCCUCAUUUGACAACUACCUCCAGCCCCGCUGCACCGCCUAUAUUUAGCUGCGCUUUGAGGCCGGCGUUUUUUGAGCCGCGCGUGUUCACGCUCCAGCGUGAAAAAAAAACACAGGCCCGCUGGGCCCGUGAGCGUGCAGCUGGGGAUUGGACGCUGGCACGGGGGUGGCGGGAGAGGGGGAGGCGUCUCUAGGUAGACUGGCAUCUGUUUGGAGACGACACACGCCGCGCGCUCGCAGUGUUUGCACAGGCGUAAAGGUGCUUCUGACCCGCAGGGCGACGCGUCUCAGGAUUGCACCCGAUUUCGGAGUUUGUCACGUCUCUGUAACAUCUGCUGCUCUCCGCUCCGGUGAGCCGCGCUGUUCUCGUUGGUAUUCGCGCCACGGACCCUGACUCGCUUCCGAUGUUAAACUUAGUUGUUAGACAGGCGUGAAAGUUGUCGUAGUCGGCGUUGAAACAAUUGACUCAGUGAGUGUUUGGAUGGAAAUCCACUGGUUUCAGGAGAUUGUAGGGGACACUUAGGACAGCCAGAGUGUGUCUCUCUUUCCCGUCUUUGCCCGUAUUUUUCUGCAGCACACAGCUUGUCGCUCAACACAGAACAAACAUUGGCGGCCAUGUAGCGAGCGGAGUUCGUCAUUUCUCUCCAUCCUCCGUCCGUCUCUCUGAGAGGACACAAUACUCGGAGUGAGGGAAGGAAGAAAAAAAGGAACUGGUCAGGCUUUCAGUACUGUUCAACCUUGGAAUGCUCUCCGGAACGUUUUUAUAAAGUUUAAGUAGAACUUAAAAUGGUCUGCACGUGUCGGCCCUGCGACAGCCGACCUCUCCGGGGUGUCCCUGCAUCCCUAAUGGAUGGAUGAAUUUUUGCCAGUGCCUCUGUCAUGCAUUUUAACGUCUGACAUUACUAAACAAAAUCAAGCCGAAACAGACCACAGCUCCACGGCCGGGCUGUUCAUCUGCAUUUUACUGCACUUAAAGUCAAAUGAAUGAUGCGGGUAAAUCACGCUGGAAGGCACACUGACCACCGUCCAUCUAAGGGCCACUAACUCAGCCGUGCCAUGGAGACCGACAUGAAUGAAAGUCAGUCAGGAGGAAGUUGGACAUCAGAGUGUCCUGCUCACUGUGGUGAUCCAAGGGGAGCAGCUGAUAACAUCCACCCGCUCCAAUUGCAAGCAGGAGAAGGUAAACGCCGACUGUGGCUCUUCACAGAGAACGUUUCUGCGACACCGUUUAGGAGAUUAGUUUUCCAUACUCUCCAUUUGUGCAUUUUUAUGUCCCUGUUUUGUUGCCAAACAGUGAACGCGUCCGUUGGGAAUGCAGCGUGUCAUCGGAGAUACCAUUUUAUCCGCCCCCCGCCUGUUGGCUGCAGAUUGCGACAGACAAAUCAUUUUUGCCUCUUUGAUGUCUAUGGACGAACGGCCGUCUUUGUGGCCGUGAGAGCGGAAGUUGUUGGACUGAAUUUGAGCACCGGUUGUUUACUGUUGCUUAGUGAAACCUAAUAAUUGAGGCGCGGGAUUUACCGAUGACCUUUGGUUGACCCGUAAAUUUACAGCUGCACCCUUCACCCCCCCGGCCUGGAUCUCAUGUUGAGGGCACCAUUCAAACCAUUAAAGUGUAAUUUGAGAGAAAGGGGCCGACUGCACAGGGGGGGAGGUGAUUUUUAAAAAUUUGUCAGUUCAGAAAGCCAAGGUCACCGUCACACGAGGGGGUUUGUGUCAAGACACGUUGCAUUCUGGGUAAGCAGAGCUAGUAAAAAAAAAAUGGGCCGGGCAGUGAGUCUUGGUUGAGGGGUGUUGCAGAGGGGGGGGGGGUCAGACAAAGAGAAGUUCUGGUUGAGGACUUUGGGGACGGGGGAGGCCUAACCUGCCCGAGGCAAAGGGAGGGAUGGAACGCAGCCAAGAUGACGGAGGGGAGAAGAGGUGAGUCGUUACGGGCUCGUAAUCUAAUCUCUGGUCACUGAACUGAAAGUGGGAGAGUUUGGCUGCCAACCGUGAGUGAGUGAAAAGGCGAUUGUUCAAUCUAUGGAGUCAAUUAAAACCGCUGAUAGAAAUGUAUAAAACCGCAUUUAGUUUGGGGGGCCCAUUUCUUUUUCCCAAUCAUUUCCUUUUAGUCCAUUUUCUGACGGAUGAGAAAGUGUCAAACUAUACGGGAAUGGGGGAGCGACGGGGGGGAGGGGGGGGUGCAAUCAGGGCCGAGUUCACAAAGAAUGGCUUGCAGGUGCCGCGAGCGUUAUGAAUCGUGCAUCACUUCCAUCAACAUCUGCCCCGUAUUACGGUUCGAAUCAUAAAAGAUGUUGCCGUUGUGAGACUACAGUCCAAAACACACCAUGAAGUUGUUUUUUUGGCAUCUGAUUGCAAUUAUCCAUGCUACAAGCUAUUGAUUCGCUUGAGGCCAAUGCAGCUUUUGGGAGUAAUAGCCCGCCUGAGCUAGAAGCCCGUCAGGACCAAACCGCUCAAGUGGCCUUUCUUUUCACAGUAAUGUAUAAAUAUUUCUCCUUUUGUGGAAACAGCGAAAUCAUGGCGAGCAGGGAACUCGGAAGUGACGUUCAGCCAGCGUAUUGUGGGUUUAGGAGGGUUUAUUUUGGGGAAAAAGGGUAUUUUUCUUGGCUCUAGCAAUGGGUGUUUGCCUCCCCUCCAAGCACCUGUGAUGUUUUUGGCUCUGCGGCUGGACGCUCAUCGGUUACCUGGACUCAAGGCUGCACGUUGGUCGUCAACGUUUUCACUUACGUCACUACAGUACGCGUAAAGAAAUAACUGCGUGAUUCAAGCUGAUGGUGUAAUUUGAGAAAGGCAACUUGGAGCUAAAAGAAAAGACGGAGUAAAGGCUGGAGGCAAGAGCGGGUGUGAAGGGGGGAAGGAUGUGACAAAAGCCCGGUGUGAUUAGCAAAAGAAGUAAGAGUUGGUGCUGAGAGCUGUGUGCAAAUGCUCAAAGCAUCUCAAGAUCUAAUUAAAUAUUAAUGUAUUUGAACUUGUUUAAAAUUAUCCCGAGGUUCCGUUUUCUUCUUCUUUUUGCGCUAUAUAAAAGUUUAAUUAUUAUAUUGAGUAGUUUGUGGGCAGCCAAAGUACGCUGUAAAAGAGUUGCCUUAAAUUAAAUAAAUAGAUGCAUCUGUUGGUUAACAGACAUAAGAGACCAAUUAAUGAAGUGAAGUGCCGGAGUUUAUUCAGUCUGUGCGCGUGAGCGAGUUAGCGUGUUUGUUUUUGCUUACCAUAUUGAUUUAACGCCCCCCCUUCCCCUCCCCCGCCUCCCUUCCUCCCCCCAGUGCAGGCAAUCAAAAUUUGUGAGCCUGCCAUAGAUUUCUUUCUGUAAAUCUCUGUACACACACACACACACGCACAAUAACACCCACACAAAACCCCAAACUCCCCGCUCCCCUCGCUCACCCACCCGGCUCCAGAUGCGGCCCCAGCAGCGGUGACUUCCGGCCAGCACACAUCUCCUCCCAUUUAUCAAUCGGCAUUAGGCCGUGGUAGGUGAGCAGACAGGUCAAUCCACCUCCAGAUGGAUCCGUAUUAGACGCAGCCGCUCCAUCCAUCUGAGCCCGGACCAGCCUCCCUCUGCCAGGGGCCCACUCGCUCCACUUUAGGAACCCUCAUCGGGGUCGGAAACACUUUCUGAACGUUUCACAAGUUGAUACUGAGCAGAGGAGAGUUUUUGGCGCAGAGAUCCACGUGAGGAUAAAUAAAUAUAUAAGCCUCUAUUGCAUUAUUCCCUCUCAAAUCACCAUCGUAGGCCUGCCUUCGCAGCCACCUCCUCUCUCUCUCUCUCUCUCUCUCCCUUCUCUGUUUCCCCAAAGCCCAUGAAAGUUGGAGCACUUUAAUAGGAAGAUGAAACGCGAGAGAGGAAGUGUGUGAUGUGAUGGAGAUGAGAGCGAUGAUGAAAUGGAGAUGGAUUGGAUGCGGAUGAGAGCCACAGGUGACAGGUCUCGUCCUCUCCUCCCUUUCGCCCCUGAGAACGUCUCCUGCAGAUCCCACAUGCCCAUGUCUCUAGUCUCCAGCCAUUUUCCCUCUGUCUCUUUUCCUCUCCCCUCUCUCCUCUCUCUCCCUCCCGUCAUAUAUAUAUAUAUAUAUAUAUAUAUAGGACGUGCAUGGCGUGGAGCAGCGCUCGGAUAAUCAGCAGCGGUUUAUUCAUUAUGAAUGAGAGCCGGUUCUGGGGGGAGCCAGUGAGUAGGCCUCUCGCAGAGACUCAUCAAUUAAACAACAGAGUUUCCCAGCCUUUUGAUUAAAGAUAAAGAGGAAAUACGAUGAUCAAUAGAGACCUGUUAGAGACCGGGCAAAACAGACCAACAAAACGCAAGAAAGCUGGAAGACAGACAAACAAACAGAGGAGUGGAGGGAAGGAGCCACGGAGAACGCGGGGUGCGUUGGCGUGUCGACAUCUCGGCGGGGGGAAGCCUCGCCGUCGCCCCCGCAUCAAUCCCACGCAGGCCCACGCCUUGGAUCGAUGCCAGGGCGGCAGCGCGGGCAGAGGGCCAAACCCCGCUGUCUGUUCUCCCCCCUUUUUGCUCUCCCGCCCUCGCCUGAUUCUCCUCUUCUGCCGUCUCUUCUUUUGUUCUCUCUCCUUUCCUCCCCACGCUUUUUCUCUCCUCUUUCCCGUCUGUUACUCCUCGUCUUAUCUCACCUCCCACGCCCUCUCCCACCGGUUGGCCUGCGUCUCAUCUUGGUUCCCCCGAGGUCUUAAACCCCUUUCAAGUGUUUAUUUUUACAAAAUUAAUUUAUUCAAGAGGGAACCAGAAAGGCCUGAAUGUACAGCUCGGCGGGAAUCGCUUUUCAGCUCGAAUCCCGUUGUCUCAGGUGAUGUCGCACACUCAGCAGGAACGGCAGCCUCCGGGACGCGCCGCCUCCCUCCCACAUGUUCCCCCGUCUCCGAGGCCUUGAAGUUGGGGCCAAGUGUGGAGUGAAAGGCCCGGCGACGGGCUGGUACUGUUAAUCUACGCCAUGUCUGAUUACGCUUUUUACCCCGUGAACAGGAGGUUGCUCGGCUUGUUGCUAGGCUCCUGUCCAAUAAGUGGCUAUGAAGGUGGGCGGACGGUGCUGUCAUGCUCAUCACAAAGACACACACACACACACACACAUCCCGUUUCUUUAUCCAUGUGGAGCACGAAAGGAAAUUAAAUAUCACCUAUAUUUCCAGUUGAAUUACUUUUACUUGCUUUCUAAAUGGUGUUGGAGGGAGGGAGGCCAGUAGCUGGCUGCUAACACUGAUGAGCACGACGCUGUGGUAGUGACAAUCACAAGGUACGCCCCGCCCUAAAACAUACACCACGGAUAAUACACUCAAGUUUACUGAGGUCAUACAUCAAGUGAGAAGUAGGGUUCUUUUACCCAUAUUUCAAUAUAACCAGACUUCUUUUUGCUGGUCAUUAGAAAGAAUGAAGAAGUUUAAGAUACUUUCUCAUUUACUUCACUAUGUUUAAGAGGAUGAUUUCUGAUGGCAGAGAAGAUGCCUAAGGGCUCAUCAAUUGUAUCCACGUAUAUACAAAACUAUUUCACUGCAUCUCAUUUUUCAUCUGAAUUUGUGCUUUGAUAUUAAUCAAAGCAAAAGACAAUCCGAGCCUCCUAUAAACCCGGAUCCUCGUCUCAUUUCUAUUCUCCCAUCUUUGAUCACCAUAAACAGCAUCUGGUGCCUUUGCACUAACCAGAUCCGCUCCCACUUACAGCAGGACCAGUAAAUUCAUCGCAACAUCUGGUCAGCUCAACACUUUCUGCAGCUUCUGCAUAUCAACAACACUGCAAGAGAAAUCCAACAUAUUUCGGGAUAAUUCAAGCACCUGUUUGUUUUUGUUUUUUUCUUCCAUUUUGAGGUUCCGAUGCAUCUUCUGCCCCCCCCCGCCCCCCAACAGGGAAGCAGCUCUGUUCUCUUGGCAUCCUCUUGUGUAGCAACUUGCCAGGUUACAUAGCAUUACCCUCAUUACUCACACCUCCCUUCAAAGCGCUUCGCUCGUUGUGGCUGUGGGAUGAACGCGGCAGCCUCUCUGGCCUCUGGAGUCAACCAACCACUCCAGUAAGAGCCAAACUUCCUGGUUUACUUGUGGUUGGUUAUGGAUUUUGGCCCUCGGUGCUUUGCCGUCUUUACGGGCGCACAGCUGCUGUUUACUCAACAUCGAGAUCGAAGCGUUCUGACUUUUGGCUUUUUUUUGCGCCGUAAGAGAAAGGGUUUAUUCGUUUUCACUUCCGCUCAGAUGAGUUUUAAUGUAUCAUGAGGGCUCUCAAUUUUUGUGUGGGAAGUUUGCUAUCAUUAGCAUCUACGAUGCUUUAUGAGUGGAUGCAUUCACAGUGAAGCAUGGCCUCAGGCUGACAUCAGCACCGGCCAGACCAUCCACGCUUGGUAAUGGGAAAAAAAAAGCGGAAUACAAAAGGGUUCACAAAUUAUUCUGUUUAGACUUGUUGGCUUGUUUUGGAUAACAGACGCAAACAUUUUUUUUCUUAAUGCCAAGACAUCCAUUAUAUAUAUUCAAAUAUAUGCUGAAUCCUGAAUUCCACGUUCUUUAAAUGGCAAACACAAGGUUUAUUAAUAUUACUCACAUGAAAAACUAAAAAGAUAUAGAAAUACAAACAAUAUUUCUAAAUUCAUUUGCCUGGUACAAAAUAAAAGAAAGUGUGCUUAUGGAAUAAUAAGUUUUAUAUAGUAAUGUGAUGGGAAUUGUGUGUAAUAUUUCAAUAAACGGUGCAAACUCAUUGUCAUUAGCAACUGAGCUAACAAGUUCGCAUGGUGGAUUUAUUUAAGCUUUUCUGCAAACUGCUCCACAAAAGGGGAGUGUCUUAAGAGAUCGAUUAUACAAAAAUGUAUUUUAAAUUA
Molecule: long non-coding RNA, 15409 nt
Organism: Gasterosteus aculeatus aculeatus (three-spined stickleback)
Lineage: Eukaryota; Metazoa; Chordata; Actinopteri; Perciformes; Gasterosteidae
Source: Ensembl